This 1168-nucleotide ribosomal RNA is filed under the name uncultured fungus. RNAcentral's name for it is "eukaryotic LSU rRNA". The stretch from base 527 to 1168 matches the Rfam family "Eukaryotic large subunit ribosomal RNA", at positions 1 to 667 of the family's 3401-position model. The record is from RNAcentral. Lineage: Eukaryota; Fungi.
AAGUCGUAACAAGGUUUCCGUAGGUGAACCUGCGGAAGGAUCAUUACAAGUGAGGCUACCGAACGUUGGAAACAGCGGUUAGGAGCUUACACCCACCCGUGUUUACAUACUAUUGUUGCUUUGGCGGGCCGUGGCCUCCACUGCGGGCUCUGCUCGUGUGUGCCCGCCAGAGAACCAAACUCUGAAUGUUAGUGAUGUCUGAGUACUAUCUAAUAGUUAAAACUUUCAACAACGGAUCUCUUGGUUCUGGCAUCGAUGAAGAACGCAGCGAAAUGCGAUAAGUAAUGUGAAUUGCAGAAUUCAGUGAAUCAUCGAAUCUUUGAACGCACAUUGCGCCCUGUGGUAUUCCGCAGGGCAUGCCUGUUCGAGCGUCAUUUAACCACUCACGCCUAGCGUGGUAUUGGGGCACGCGGUCUCGCGGCCCUCAAAAUUAGUGGCGGCGCCGGUGGGCUCUAAGCGUAGUACAUACUCCCGCUAUAGAGUUCCCCCGGUAGCUCGCCAGAACCCCCAAUUUUUUUUUACAGGUUGACCUCGGAUCAGGUAGGGAUACCCGCUGAACUUAAGCAUAUCAAUAAGCGGAGGAAAAGAAACCAACAGGGAUUACCUCAGUAACGGCGAGUGAAGCGGUAACAGCUCAAAUUUGAAAGCUGCCAACAGGCCGCGUUGUAAUUUGUAGAAGCUGCUUUGGGUGUCGGCCCGGUCUAAGUUCCUUGGAACAGGACGUCAUAGAGGGUGAGAAUCCCGUAUGUGAUCGGUGCCGUUGCCCGUGUAAAGCGCUUUCGACGAGUCGAGUUGUUUGGGAAUGCAGCUCAAAAUGGGUGGUAAAUUUCAUCUAAAGCUAAAUAUUGGCCAGAGACCGAUAGCGCACAAGUAGAGUGAUCGAAAGAUGAAAAGCACUUUGGAAAGAGAGUUAAACAGUACGUGAAAUUGUUGAAAGGGAAGCGCUUGCAACCAGACUUGCGGGCGGUCGAUCAUCCGAGGUUCUCCCCGGUGCACUCGAUCGUUCUCAGGCCAGCAUCGGUUUCCGGGGUGGGAUAAAGGCGGUGGAAAUGUGGCUCUUCGGAGUGUUAUAGCCCACCGUGCAAUGCCGCCACUGGGGACCGAGGACCGCGCUUCGGCUAGGAUGCUGGCGUAAUGGUUGUAAGCGACCCGUCUUGAAACACGGACC